Long non-coding RNA from Oncorhynchus tshawytscha (Chinook salmon), 3069 nucleotides. The record is from Ensembl. NCBI's taxonomy places the organism in Eukaryota, Metazoa, Chordata, Actinopteri, Salmoniformes, Salmonidae.
GUACUUAUCGUCAGAGUAGGGGGUGUUAACCCCGGUGUCCUGACUCUCUGAGGUCAUUAAAGAUCCCAUGGUACUUAUCGUCAGAGUAGGGGGUGUUAACCCCGGUGUCCUGACUCUCUGAGGUCAUUAAAGAUCCCAUGGUACUUAUCGUCAGAGUAGGGGGUGUUAACCCCGGUGUCCUGACUCUCUGAGGUCAUUAAAGAUCCCAUGGUACUUAUCGUCAGAGUAGGGGGUGUUAACCCCGGUGUCCUGACUCUCUGAGGUCAUUAAAGAUCCCAUGGUACUUAUCGUCAGAGUAGGGGGUGUUAACCCCGGUGUCCUGACUCUCUGAGGUCAUUAAAGAUCCCAUGGUACUUAUCGUCAGAGUAGGGGGUGUUAACCCCGGUGUCCUGACUCUCUGAGGUCAUUAAAGAUCCCAUGGUACUUAUCGUAAGAGUAGGGGGUGUUAACCCCGGUGUCCUGACUCUCUGAGGUCAUUAAAGAUCCCAUGGUACUUAUCGUCAGAGUUAGGGGUGUUAACCCCGGUGUCCUGACUCUCUGAGGUCAUUAAAGAUCCCAUGGCACUUAUCAUAAGAGUAGGGGUGUUAACCCCGGUGUCCUGACUCUCUGAGGUCAUUAAAGAUCCCAUGGCACUUAUCGUAAGAGUAGGGGUGUUAACCCCGGUGUCCUGGCUAAAUUCCCAAUCUGACCCUCAAACCAUCACGGUCACCUAAUAAUCCCCAGUUUACAAUUGGCUCUUUCAUCCCCCUCCUCUCCCCUGUAACUAUUCCCCAGGUUGUUGCUGUAAAUGAGAACGUGUUCUCAGUCAACUUACCUGGUAAAAUAACGGAUAAAUAAAAAAUAAAAAUAAAAAUCUGAAGCCUGUAUUCAUAGUGUGCAUCCCAAAUGGCACCCUAGUCAAUACAGUGCACUACUAUUUAUUUAUUUAUUUAUUUCACCUUUAUUUAACCAGGUAGGCAAGUUGAGAACAAGUUCUCAUUUACAACUGCGACCUGGCCAAGAUAAAGCAAAGCAGUUCGACAGAUACAACGACACAGAGUUACACAUGGAGUAAAACAAACAUACAGUCAAUAAUACAGUAUAAACAAGUCUAUAUACGAUGUGAGCAAAUGAGGUGAGAAGGGAGGUAAAGGCAAAAAAAGGCCAUGGUGGCAAAGUAAAUACAAUAUAGCAAGUAAAACACUGGAAUGGUAGAUUUGCAAUGGAAGAAUGUGCAAAGUAGAAAUAAAAAUAAUGGGGUCCAAAGGAGCAAAAUAAAUAAAUAAAUAAAAAUUAAAUACAGUUGGGAAAGAGGUAGUUGUUUGGGCUAAAUUAUAGGUGGGCUAUGUACAGGUGCAGUAAUCUGUGAGCUGCUCUGACAGUUGGUGCUUAAAGCUAGUGAGGGAGAUAAGUGUUUCCAGUUUCAGAGAUUUUUGUAGUUCGUUCCAGUCAUUGGCAGCAGAGAACUGGAAGGAGAGGCGGCCAAAGAAAGAAUUGGUUUUGGGGGUGACUAGAGAGAUAUACCUGCUGGAGCGUGUGCUACAGGUGGGAGAUGCUAUGGUGACCAGCGAGCUGAGAUAAGGGGGGACUUUACCUAGCAGGGUCUUGUAGAUGACAUGGAGCCAGUGGGUUUGGCGACGAGUAUGAAGCGAGGGCCAGCCAACGAGAGCGUACAGGUCGCAAUGGUGGGUAGUAUAUGGGGCUUUGGUGACAAAACGGAUUGCACUGUGAUAGACUGCAUCCAAUUUGUUGAGUAGGGUAUUGGAGGCUAUUUUGUAAAUGACAUCGCCAAAGUCGAGGAUUGGUAGGAUUUUACAAGGGUAUGGGGUAUGUUUGGCAGCAUGAGUGAAGGAUGCUUUGUUGCGAAAUAGGAAGCCAAUUCUAGAUUUAACUUUGGAUUGGAGAUGUUUGAUAUGGGUCUGGAAGGAGAGUUUACAGUCUAACCAGACACCUAAGUAUUUGUAGUUGUCCACGUAUUCUAAGUCAGAGCCGUCCAGAGUAGUGAUGUUGGACAGGCUGGUAGGUGCAGGUAGCGAUCGGUUGAAGAGCAUGCAUUUAGUUUUACUUGUAUUUAAGAGCAAUUGGAGGCCACGGAAGGAGAGUUGUAUGGCAUUGAAGCUUGCCUGGAGGGUUGUUAACACAGUGUCCAAAGAAGGGCCGGAAGUAUACAGAAUGGUGUCAAAAGUACACUUGGGCAAAAGUACUACACUAUAUUAGGAAUAGGAUGUCAUUUGGGACAGAGACGAUGUAUCAAUAAGAGAUCUCCGUGCUUCUACACCUGCAUUGCUUGCUGUUUGGGGUUUUAGGCUGGGUUUCUGUACAGCACAUUGUGACAUCAUCUGAUGUAAGAAGUAAAUACAUUUGAUUUGAUUUGAUUUGAUUCUAAAAUGGUGAACUGUUCUCCCAUCCCAUCUAGCAAGAUGCUUUCUGCAUAUAAUGUUAUCAUUCUGCGUGGCAUUCCAAGUGGCGCCCUAAUUAGGUUUCUGUUUGGGACGUAAACAUUAUCCUGGUCAUUGUGUCCCCACAUCAUUUUGGGGAUAUUGUACGUUGUGUAUAAACCUUUCGUUGUAAUGGUGCAGUACUUUAUUUCAAUGGACAGACAUAAUAGUUUGUUUUUCUAGAUAUUUAAAUUCAUAUCAUAUCUUUGAUAUUUUUUAAAGUUGACAAAUGUUAUGUGUAAAAUGAUGAUUAUUCUAAUAGUUUAUUAAUAAUUUUGUGUUUUGCUAUAUGGUUAAAAGCAGAUGGUCACAUUAUUACUAAAACCUUGUUUUCUAAUGAUUUAGUAGCAGAGUUGGGCUCAAUUCCAUUUCGAUUCCAGUCAAUUCAGAAAGUUAAACCAAAUUCCAAUUCCGAAUUGGAACGGAAGACGAUUGGAAUUGGAAUUUCAGUUUACUUCCUGAAUUGACUGGAAUUGAAAUGGAAUUGAUCCCAAACCUGUUUAGUAGUUAGUUACUACUGAGAGUUGACCUCUGUGUUUUUCCCUGUUAAGUUCAGCAGUUCUACUGGCGAUAUUUGUUUCUAGAACGUUUUUUAAAUUCUGUGUAAUUAAUGAAUGCUUCAGCACAUAUUAAAUGGCAAAUACUAUUUGAA